This 550-nucleotide ribosomal RNA is filed under the name uncultured bacterium. Its description in RNAcentral is "bacterial SSU rRNA". It matches the Rfam family "Bacterial small subunit ribosomal RNA", at positions 355 to 896 of the family's 1533-position model. The record is from RNAcentral.
UAGGGAAUCUUCCGCAAUGGGCGAAAGCCUGACGGAGCAACGCCGCGUGAGUGAUGAAGGUCUUCGGAUCGUAAAACUCUGUUAUUAGGGAAGAACAUAUGUGUAAGUAACUGUGCACAUCUUGACGGUACCUAAUCAGAAAGCCACGGCUAACUACGUGCCAGCAGCCGCGGUAAUACGUAGGUGGCAAGCGUUAUCCGGAAUUAUUGGGCGUAAAGCGCGCGUAGGCGGUUUUUUAAGUCUGAUGUGAAAGCCCACGGCUCAACCGUGGAGGGUCAUUGGAAACUGGAAAACUUGAGUGCAGAAGAGGAAAGUGGAAUUCCAUGUGUAGCGGUGAAAUGCGCAGAGAUAUGGAGGAACACCAGUGGCGAAGGCGACUUUCUGGUCUGUAACUGACGCUGAUGUGCGGAAGCGUGGGGAUCAAACAGGAUUAGAUACCCUGGUAGUCCACGCCGUAAACGAUGAGUGCUAAGUGUUAGGGGGUUUCCGCCCCUUAGUGCUGCAGCUAACGCAUUAAGCACUCCGCCUGGGGAGUACGACCGCAAGGUUG